AACCUUGUGCAGUGGCAAUAUCGCAAGCUAUGAAGUCCCAACUGAGCUGCGUUUAUUGCUAGUUGAAAACUAAAACCAAUAGCUCGCCCAGGAGGAGGAUCCACGAUCCUCCUCACUGAGGCAAUUUUUUAAGGCCCCUAAGGGG
Molecule: non-coding RNA, 145 nt
Organism: Drosophila ficusphila
Lineage: Eukaryota; Metazoa; Arthropoda; Insecta; Diptera; Drosophilidae
Source: Rfam